AGUGAACGCUGGCGGUAGGCCUAACACAUGCAAGUCGAACGGCAGCACAGUAAGAGCUUGCUCUUACGGGUGGCGAGUGACGGACGGGUGAGGAAUACAUCGGAAUCUACUUUUUCGUGGGGGAUAACGUAGGGAAACUUACGCUAAUACCGCAUACGACCUACGGGUGAAAGCAGGGGAUCUUCGGACCUUGCGCGAUUGAAUGAGCCGAUGUCGGAUUAGCUAGUUGGCGGGGUAAGGGCCCACCAAGGCGACGAUCCGUAGCUGGUCUGAGAGGAUGAUCAGCCACACUGGAACUGAGACACGGUCCAGACUCCUACGGGAGGCAGCAGUGGGGAAUAUUGGACAAUGGGCGCAAGCCUGAUCCAGCCAUACCGCGUGGGUGAAGAAGGCCUUCGGGUUGUAAAGCCCUUUUGUUGGGAAAGAAAAGCAGCAGGUUAAUACCCCGCUGUUCUGACGGUACCCAAAGAAUAAGCACCGGCUAACUUCGU
Molecule: ribosomal RNA, 491 nt
Filed under: uncultured bacterium
Lineage: Bacteria
Description: partial 16S ribosomal RNA
Rfam family: Bacterial small subunit ribosomal RNA
Source: RNAcentral